This 144-nucleotide non-coding RNA is filed under the name uncultured Veillonella sp. RNAcentral's name for it is "glmS glucosamine-6-phosphate activated ribozyme". It matches the Rfam family "glmS glucosamine-6-phosphate activated ribozyme aptamer", at positions 9 to 158 of the family's 167-position model. From Rfam's summary of the family: This entry contains a glucosamine-6-phosphate activated ribozyme that is found in the mRNA for GlmS. GlmS is an enzyme that uses fructose-6-phosphate and glutamine to generate glucosamine-6-phosphate. Lineage: Bacteria; Bacillati; Bacillota; Negativicutes; Veillonellales; Veillonellaceae. The record is from RNAcentral.
AAUAGCGCAAGCACUGCUGGGAGACAGCCCAGACAGUAGACGAGGAAGAGGAGUAUCGAAGAAUCAGCGGAUGCCUCUCGGCUUGCUUUAGUCGUUAUGCAAGAAGCAAAGUCUUUUGGUGACAGAGGAACAAAGAGCUUGCAA